RNAcentral lists this long non-coding RNA (384 nucleotides) under Mytilus galloprovincialis (Mediterranean mussel). Lineage: Eukaryota; Metazoa; Mollusca; Bivalvia; Mytilida; Mytilidae. The record is from RNAcentral.
AUCAUAUAUAUAAAGAGUUAACUUUCAAGUACAAUCCUCAUUCACUUCAAAACAAUAAUUAAUAUGGAAUUUACAGAGGCAAUGAGAGAAUUUGUUUUUAAAGAAUUGGAUUAUUAUCCUUACUCGUUAAUUACGAACCAGGAAACUUUUCCUUGUAGUGUUUGUAAUGUAUCGCAAGAAAUGAGGUUAGAGAGGGAAAUGUUUAAAACUGCCAAUGGAAGAUAAUUCGUUUAAUGGCAGUUUGAAGAAGUGUAUCAUCAUAUUUUACAUUUAACAAUUAGUGAAAUAAUAUGUUUUACCAUAUAGAAACUGGCAUACUGUGCAGUAUCCAAUAUUUAGCCAAAAGGAUUAUGGAAAAAGAUGAGUACCAAUUUGGAAUGGGAG